GGGGAAUUUUGGACAAUGGUCGCAAGCCUGAUCCAGCAAUGCCGCGUGCAGGAUGAAGGCCUUCGGGUUGUACACUGCUUUUGUACGGAACGAAACGCCUCUCUCUAAUACAGGGGGGUGAUGACGGUACCGUAAGAAUAAGCACCGGCUAACUACGUGCCAGCAGCCGCUGUGAUACGUAGGGUGCGAGCGUUGUCCGGAAUUAUUGGGCGUAAAGAGCUUGUAGGCGGUCCGUCACGUCGGAAGUGAAAACUCAGGGCUUAACCCUGAGCCUGCUUUCGAUACGGGCAGACUUGAGGGAUGUAGGGGAGAACGGAAUUCCUGGUGGAGCGGUGGAAUGCGCAGAUAUCAGGAGGAACACCAGUGGCGAAGGCGGCUUGCUGGACAAAUACUGACGCUGAGGUGCGAAAGCGUGGGGAGCAAACA
RNAcentral lists this ribosomal RNA (426 nucleotides) under uncultured Propionibacteriaceae bacterium. RNAcentral's name for it is "bacterial SSU rRNA". It matches the Rfam family "Bacterial small subunit ribosomal RNA", at positions 356 to 774 of the family's 1533-position model. The record is from RNAcentral. Lineage: Bacteria; Bacillati; Actinomycetota; Actinomycetes; Propionibacteriales; Propionibacteriaceae.